Molecule: ribosomal RNA, 468 nt
Filed under: uncultured bacterium
Lineage: Bacteria
Description: partial 16S ribosomal RNA
Rfam family: Bacterial small subunit ribosomal RNA
Source: RNAcentral
GACGAACGCUGGCGGCGUGCUUAACACAUGCAAGUCGAACGGAAAGGCCCUGCUUUUGUGGGGUGCCCGAGUGGCGAACGGGGGAGUAACACGUGAGUAACCUGCCCUUGACUUUGGGAUAACUUCAGGAAACUGGGGCUAAUACCGGGUAGGAGCUCCUGCUGCAAGGUGGGGGUUGGAAAGUUUCGGCGGUUGGGGAUGGACUCGCGGCUUAUCAGCUUGUUGGUGGGGUAGGGGCUUUCCAAGGCUUUGACGGGUAGCCGGCCUGAGAGGGUGACCGGCCACAUUGGGACUGAGAUACGGCCCAGACUCCUACGGGAGGCAGCAGUGGGGAAUAUUGCACAAUGGGCGGAAGCCUGAUGCAGCAACGCCGCGUGCGGGAUGACGGCCUUCGGGUUGUAAACCGCUUUCGCCUGUGACGAAGCGUGAGUGACGGUAAUGGGUAAAGAAGCACCGGCUAACUACGUG